GUGAACGCUGGCGGUAGGCCUAACACAUGCAAGUCGCACGGCAGCACAGUAAGAGCUUGCUCUUACGGGUGGCGAGUGGCGGACGGGUGAGGAAUACAUCGGAAUCUACUUUUUCGUGGGGGAUAACGUAGGGAAACUUACGCUAAUACCGCAUACGACCUACGGGUGAAAGCAGGGGAUCUUCGGACCUUGCGCGAUUGAAUGAGCCGAUGUCGGAUUAGCUAGUUGGCGGGGUAAAGGCCCACCAAGGCGACGAUCCGUAGCUGGUCUGAGAGGAUGAUCAGCCACACUGGAACUGAGACACGGUCCAGACUCCUACGGGAGGCAGCAGUGGGGAAUAUUGGACAAUGGGCGCAAGCCUGAUCCGGCCAUACCGCGUGGGUGAAGAAGGCCUUCGGGUUGUAAAGCCCUUUUGUUGGGAAAGAAAAGCAGCAGGUUAAUACCCCGCUGUUCUGACGGUACCCAAAGAAUAAGCACCGGCUAACUUCGUG
RNAcentral lists this ribosomal RNA (491 nucleotides) under uncultured bacterium. Its description in RNAcentral is "partial 16S ribosomal RNA". It matches the Rfam family "Bacterial small subunit ribosomal RNA", at positions 29 to 507 of the family's 1533-position model. The record is from RNAcentral.